This 72-nucleotide transfer RNA is filed under the name Marmota monax (woodchuck). RNAcentral's name for it is "tRNA.Undet". The record is from RNAcentral. Lineage: Eukaryota; Metazoa; Chordata; Mammalia; Rodentia; Sciuridae.
GGGGUUGUGGCUCAGUGGUAGAGCACUUGCUAGCACAUGUGAGAGGUACUGGGUUUGAUCCUAAGUACCUCA